UAUAUAUAUAUGUAUAUAUAUAUAUAUGUAUGUAUAUAUAUAUAUAUAUGUGUGAAUAUAGAACAUGUAAAUAAUCAACUGAAAAGCUCCCAUAUUUGCCUACAUUAAAACUGAAUUGAUACACAAUCUCAUGUAUUCACAUGUGGACCUAUACGUAUGCAUGUGUAUAUUUAUAUAUAUGUACAUACACAUAUACGUGUGUGUAUAUACGUAUGUAUGUACAAUGACAACUAGCCGUAGCUUCAAUCAUUAGCCAUCAUAUACACCCUCAACACUCAGUUCAUAUACACGUGUAUAUGUGUCUUAACUAAAAAGCAUGACAUUUAAAGAAAGCUUGUCAGUUUUUUUUGUUUCUUUUUUGUUUUUGAAGAAAAAAAAAACUCUUAUGUAUGUAUGUUUGUUUCACUUAUUGGACACCCACCACCAACCCCCGUCCCCUAACCCACCCCCGUUGUGCUGUGUGAAUUCCUUCUUAAACAAGAAAACAAAAAAAAGCCCCC
Molecule: long non-coding RNA, 500 nt
Organism: Octopus sinensis (East Asian common octopus)
Lineage: Eukaryota; Metazoa; Mollusca; Cephalopoda; Octopoda; Octopodidae
Exons: 2
Source: RefSeq, a predicted model, not a curated record